AAUGUUCCUGUAUUAUGUGCUUCUCAGAAGAUGAGUCGGGAUGUCCAGAAGCAAGGACUGAAAGCAGCCAAGCACAGGACACAGAAGAUACUGUGGAUCUUGGAAACAACUCUACUUUGGGGAAACUCAAGAGGAAAAGAAG
Molecule: long non-coding RNA, 142 nt
Organism: Phyllostomus discolor (pale spear-nosed bat)
Lineage: Eukaryota; Metazoa; Chordata; Mammalia; Chiroptera; Phyllostomidae
Exons: 2
Source: RefSeq, a predicted model, not a curated record